CUAUAACAGCUCGCAGAGACCAGUAAUAUAAUAUCACACUCUGCUGAUGACUGAUAUGUUCAAGGCCAUGCUCCUCCCAAGCUGCUUCAGGCUGCUGCCCUGGCCAGCAGAAGUUAAUUCUGGGAGCCCAUGAGGGUGUGAGGGUACAGGAAUCCUCGGAUGAUGAGAGCCCGGUACUGGCAGACUCCAUUCAGAGACCACGCCCCUGGUUCCGAGUGUGAAGGCUGCCGAGCCUGAGCACCUGCGUUUGAUCUCUGAAGCCAACACCGUGGAAGGAGACAAGCGACCCUGAAAGUUGUGCUCUGACCUCCACACUCGUGCUGUGGCGUGGGAGUGCCCUCUCCCACACCACAAAACAAUUAAUGAAUACUCUUACUCUUA
Mesocricetus auratus (golden hamster) is the source of this 381-nucleotide long non-coding RNA. RefSeq lists it as uncharacterized. The record is from RefSeq and is a predicted model, not a curated record. The transcript is spliced from 2 exons. NCBI's taxonomy places the organism in Eukaryota, Metazoa, Chordata, Mammalia, Rodentia, Cricetidae.